CAUCUGCUAGAUUUUUAUUAAAGUAACAAAAAAAGGUGUACAUUUGUCCAUAAACCUGUACAUUCUUCCAUAUAAAACACUAUUAUACAAUUAGUAACCUUUGUCUUUUCUAUCAGAAUAGCUUACAAACUACUAUUAUUUAUUUUUACUUAAUAGGAGAGACAGGCCUGCUCAACAGUCCAGCUCUGGGUGUUUUGUUGAUUUUAAAGUGAACAUCAAAAAGAAGAGAGAAAAGAUUAAGCAUGAGACUAUGAGGCUGCUUAUAAUCUGCAGUGAUUCACAGCUUUGUUUCAACCCACAGGCCAGAAAAUUAGCUCUUGGGUCUGUGGGCCCAAAGUUACCUUUAAAGCAAUAAAGACUGGAAACAGGGGCUGGGAUGGUAGCUGGGGAUCUGGAACGUUGAAGAGGCAGAACUGGCAGGAAUGGGUAGGGAAAGUGUUUGGUAAAUAGCACCUUUGAAUCAGAACUGAGUAGUUAAGAAAUCCAGGAAAGGGGACUGGCAGUGGGGAGGAAGUUUUCUCCACAAGGGGCAAUGGCAGGAGGGUAGCCAGGUUGACCAGAUGUUCUAGCUCCAUCCUUCUUGAGAUGGUCUUGGGUUUGCGAUACUCAAGGCCUUCUGAGGACCCCUCACUAAUACCACUGAAAACCUGAAGGAAGAGGAUUUCUUCCCAGUGUAGUUUUGCAUUUUUCUGCAACCCAAAACAGUAAAUAUUGCACAAGUCUACAGACAAAUUUGGAUUGUACUGAGAGACGGCAACAUCUCCCACAGGUGCUCUGAGCACGGGGAAGAAAAAAACAAUGCCCAAGGUUUGGCUUUUAGUGUCAGCCCUACAAAAAUACCAAGUAGUCCUGCAGAACUUGGGGCAUUCUCCCAUUCGGCCAAGGAAUACUGCAAGGCUGAGGAUCCAGCCAUAGUCCCAAGGACAGAGGGAGAGAUGGUUCCCUAAGCCUGCCAAGGCACCAGAAGGUUGUAAGAGCCAGUUCUCCUCCAGACCCUCCUGGGACCCAAGAGGCCAUAUUGCACAGUGACUGAGAACUUUUGUCCUAGAAAACAGGGUAACUGCAUGACCCAACCAGGAGGGGAGAGGAGCAGGGAGAGUUAGAGAGGAGUGUUGUGCUUUUAAAAAGAAGGCAGUAAUCAAGGAUGUGGAGUUCCCUGUAACUUUUGAGCCACCUCUCCAAGGGAUAAUGGUAGCAUCGCCAGGACUUUCACGUAGUUCCAAAAAAAAAAAAAAAAAAAAAAUUACCACAUAUACACAUAGAGCAGCACAUAGCAAGGCAAAGAUUUCGUGCAGAGUACCCUUCUGUCCCAACUCCAAUAACCUGCAACCCCUGCCUCACUCCCCUGAACCCCCAAACAAAAAGCUUUAUAUUCUUGGUGGGUAGCAACAUCCAUAGGCCCCUGAGAAUAGAAUUAGAAAUAAGUCAUGAUUUUAAGAAAAACUGUUCAGGACAGAAGGAAUCAAGAGAGGCUUUUUCACUCUCUGCCUAGGAUCUCAUUAGAAAAAUAAAAGAGAAAGAUUAGGCAAUAUAGCAUAAUUUAAGUCCAGGUUUGAAUGCCCCUGAGUAAGAGAGGGGCUGGGGAUGCAGGUGUCCUGGUUAGAAGAGGGAGAGGUUAGAACUCAGCCUCUCUUCUCCAUCCAGGACAGAUCCUGACCUCUCUCAUUCACAGUUGCUAACCUUGCUUGCUCCUUCUCACAACUUCCUGGGGUGCUAGCCAAGCCUCUCCCCCAUCACCUUGACCAGACCCGCCCCCUGAACUUUCCCCCCUCCCAUAGGCAGACACUGGCUCCCAGACUCAAGCGCACAACGAUUCUCUCCAAAGGCACCUGGGGAGGCCACUUCCAAGCAGCUCCCUUUAAGGAUUUUUUUCUUAAAAAAAAUCUUUUGGUUUUUUUUUUUCUCCUCUUUUCUUAAAAAAAAAAAAUAAUAUAUAUAUAAAUAGCUCUUCAUUUAAAAUACAGUUCCCCAGGUUGAGGUAUGCAAUGGCCUGUUGUCACGGCAGGCAGAAUGAGUACAGUAGAGUGCCAGGUGGGGGCCACAGGGGAUCUAACUGGAGACCGCCAUGACGUAGUUCUUCGAGGGGCUGCUCCUGCCCAGCAUCAUUUGGUUCUUGCAGGUGAGGAGCCCAUAGGAGGUGGCCACCGGGGCCUCCUCGUACAGGAC
Molecule: long non-coding RNA, 2166 nt
Filed under: Sus scrofa (pig)
Lineage: Eukaryota; Metazoa; Chordata; Mammalia; Artiodactyla; Suidae
Description: lncRNA (ENSSSCG00065064660.1)
Source: RNAcentral